CCCUUACUCUUUGGGGAGUAGCCCGCUUUCUUGUUUUAAUCGCUUAGGCAAAAUAAGCAGAAAGUUCGUAUAUCAACAUAAUUGAUGCAAAAUCAUCAUGGUAUACGAGACAAGCAUGAGCAACUUGUUCGGCAAGACCUUAGAUUAACAU
This 151-nucleotide small RNA is filed under the name Aliivibrio salmonicida LFI1238. Its description in RNAcentral is "yybP-ykoY element". The stretch from base 1 to 130 matches the Rfam family "Manganese Mn2+ riboswitch aptamer (yybP-ykoY)". From Rfam's summary of the family: This RNA was originally discovered in E. coli during a large scale screen and was named SraF. The record is from RNAcentral. Lineage: Bacteria; Pseudomonadati; Pseudomonadota; Gammaproteobacteria; Vibrionales; Vibrionaceae.